Molecule: long non-coding RNA, 11809 nt
Filed under: Gossypium barbadense (sea-island cotton)
Lineage: Eukaryota; Viridiplantae; Streptophyta; Magnoliopsida; Malvales; Malvaceae
Description: long non-coding RNA (GBAR_LNC018965)
Source: RNAcentral
UGCACCUUAUUGAUCUGUCUCUGCUCCAUAUAGUACAUGAAGUGAUGCUUAUAUCUAGCAGCUUCACAAAUGAUAAUCUUGCAAUGAUUAGUUUGCUUGUUAAACGGUCUUCUGAUGAGAAGUUUACUGCUUGCAACCACAAAGUUUCAUUAGUAAUUGAUUUCAGAAUAAAUUUACCUGCAUGCAUUUGUGAAAUGCAUGUAUAUGUAUUCUUUUGAUAUAUUCUUUCUAUAUGUGUGUAUAAGUUUUUGAAGAAAUAAAAUUUAAAUAGUUAUAAUUAACCUUAUAUGCACGCAAUACAUGUUAUUUAAAACAAAUGUUAAUUGAUUCAAAACAUUAUUUUUCCCCCAUAAUGGAAAUAAUGUUAUCUUAAUUAUAAAAAUCAAAUUGGACUGAAAUUUAUUGUCUAAUUCUAUCUUAGAUUUUAAGUUAAUUACAUUAUACGUAAAAUAUUCCUCAUUCAUAAUAUGAUUUCCCUCUAAUACAUAAAUUAUAAUUGUGAAAGUGUAAGGAAGUUUUUAAAAUUAACGUAUAUAUAAUGUGAUAAAUAAAAUUUUUAAUAAUUUUACUUAAAAAGUCAAAAUUGGCUGUUAAAUUAAUAAAUUCUAUAGAAUUCUGAAAUUUUAAUAAUAAUAAUUUUUUGAAGAAACAGAUUUUUAAUGUUAUUGAUUCAAAAUAUGUUUUUUUUCCAUAUAAUGAAAAUAAUGUUGUCUAAAUUAUAAAAGAUUAAUUAGGCUAAAAUUUAUUACCUAAUUCUAUCUUAAAUUUUAAGUUGAUUACAUCAUACAUAAAGCUUUUCUCAUUCAUAAUAUGAUUUCCUUUUAAUACAUGUAACAUGAAUGUGAGCUACAACAAAUAAGAAAAACCAAGUUAAUUUCUUGUGGAUACAUGAGUGUGAAGCCUUUGAAUUAAAUGGAAGAAGUACAAGCCGGUGAAAAAAGAUUUUAAUAUUAACUAUGAAUUAGCUUAAACAAAAGUAGAAGCAUUGAUGAAAAAAUCAAAUGUAUUUUAAACUUGAAACUAGAAAGAUAAGUAACAAUUCUUGUAAAAAAUAAGUCCUCUUCAAAGUUAUAUAUGUUUUUACAAAAUGAAAUUUUAAUUUAAAAUGUUAUAAAAGUUUUAAAACUUCAAUUUCAUUAUUAAACCAAAUCCUCAUUCUUCAUUUUAUUUAUUUUGAAAUUAGAAAACCUUAAUUAAACUAAUCAUCAGUAAUUAAAUAUACUCUUUCAUUAUUAUUUGGGUGAUUGAUAAAGAAAUGAAAUUAAAGUUGCAACGAUAUCAUUUAAUAGAUAUUUUUUUGCUUCGUGUGUUCUAAAUUUGUGUUGUUUAUUUUUAUUUGAUAAUGUGUAAUUGCAACUUCAAUUCUUUGAUAGUGUGUUCUAAUUUUAAAAUGUUGCAGUAAUGGCUCGUCUGCCUUUAAUUGCACAAAGUGUGAGGCGUAAAAGAAUUAGUAUUGCUGUGACAAUAUGGUUGGAAAUCUGUAGAAUCGCGAUUUGGUUCUUAUUUAGAAUGGGUGCCAGCCUUAGCCUACAUAGACCAAGGAUUAGGUCCUAUACCGUAGAUUUUUAUGCAAAACGGGAUUAUGUGAAGAGGCUUGUAUAUGCUAGUGACGAGACCUGUAUUGAACAAGUUAGGAUGAAUAGAGCUGCCUUUUUUAAACUAUGUGAGAUGUUAGAAUCGAUAGGGGGAUUGAAGUCGACAAGGUUCAUGCUUGUUGACGAGCAAGUAACAAUGUUUUUACAUAUCAUCUUCCAUCACCUGAAAAAUCGAGUUAUCAAGUAUCACUUUAGAAGGUCCGGGGAAACUGUUAGCAGAGCAUUUCAUAGUGUUUUAAAUGUUAUCAUACGCUUGCAAGAUGUGUUAUUUAAAAAGUCGGAGCCAAUUACAACCGAUUCUUCUGACACAAGGUGGAAAUGGUUUAAGGUAUUGGACUGAGUUUUACAUACAGCUUCAACAACAUUUACUUGAUUUAGAUUUAAAUUAGUACUCUAACUCAAGGUUUUAUAUCAUGUGAUAUAGAAUUGCUUAGGUGCUCUUGAUGGAACCCACAUCAAGAUUAAGGUUCCAACAGUUGAUAAACCUAGAUAUCGAACGCGAAAAGGUGACAUAGCAACAAAUAUGCUAGGUGUUUGUACACCUGAGAUGCAAUUUGUUUAUGUUCUUCCUGGUUGGGAAGGUUCAGUUGCUGAUGGACGGGUUCUUCGAGAUGCCAUUAGUAGAAGACAUGGAUUAAAAGUUCCUCAUGGUAAAGUGUAUAGUUAGAGGACUUUGAAUUAUUCAUUAAGAUCAAACUUUGCGUGCUGAAUUAAUCAUUUUUAAAAAAAAAUUAUUUUAUAGGUUGUUAUUAUCUAGUUGAUGCUGAAUACACAAAUUGUGAGGGAUUUCUUGCACCAUUUAGAGGACAGCGAUAUCAUUUGAACGAGUGGCGUCAGGGUUAUCAGCCAAGUUCUCCGCAAGAGUUUUUUAAUAUGAAACAUGUCUCAGCACGUAAUGUUAUUGAAAGAUGCUUUGGCUUAUUAAAACUUAGAUGGGGAAUACUUAGGAGUCCAUUGUUUUAUCCUAUAAGGGUGCACAAUAGAAUUAUUAUUGCAUGUUGUUUGCUCCAUAAUUUUAUUUGAACCCAUAUGAGUAUUGAUCCCAUCGAAGCGGAGGUGGGAGAAGGAUUACCUACAAAUAAUGUGGUGGAUGACGAAGAACCGAAUAUCACAAAUAUUCAUCCAUCGGAUGCUUGGGCUACUUGGAGGAUGGAACUAGCCAACCAAAUGUUCGAUGAAUGGCAAGCAUCUAGAAAUUAGUUUGUAAAACUUUCGUGAAACUUUUGUAUUGAUUUUUGUAUUGUACUAAACUGGUUGAAUUAUAAUAUAAUUUCUUCUAAUUCAGCACGUGUUAUAAUUUUAAAUUUUUUGUGGUAUGGAGCUUUUGAUUCAUGAUACUCAACUUAAUUCCUUAGAUUUUAUAAAGUGUUGACCUUUUGAAUCAUGAUAUUAAAAUAGUAAUUAAUAUAAAUUGUUUUUUUUCUUAAGAUUAUUAUGUCAGGUGUUCCAGAAUCAAAUGCUUCUUCUCAAGCUUCUCGAGGAAGCAAAAGAAAAUGGGUUCCCGAGGAAGAUGCAGCAUUAGUUUCCUGCAUGGUGGACAUGCACAAUGUUGGAACAUUUAAUGUUGAUACCGGGUUCAAAGCCGGUUAUUUGAACGAGUUGGAAAGAAUGCUACAAACAGUUUUACCAAAUGCAAUGUUGAAGGCGAAACCUAAUAUUGAAUCAAGGAUUAGGUUACUUAAAAGGGAGUGGUCAAUCGUCUACGACAUGCUUAAUGGCCAAAACAAUAGCGGUUUUGGUUGGGACGAGCAUAGACAGCUUGUUGUUGCUGAAGAUGCGGUUUGGGAGUCCUAUUUAAAGGUAAGAUUAUUUCAAGUCUUUAUUAUAUUAUUUUUACCAAACUUAUGACUAAUAUGAUUUCCUCAUUUUUUUAGAGUCACAGAGAAGCCGCUCAAUUCAGAUAUCGUACUUUCCCUUACUACGACCAGCUUACUACCAUAUACACAAGAGAUCGAGCAACUGGGAAAGAUGCUCAAACAACUACUGAUGUUCUUGAAGAAGUAAAUGCUGAGGAUGUUCGUACUACAGGUAUGGAUGAAGAAAGAAACUCAUUCUAUGACUGCGAAGCUGACAUCCCUUUGGAUGACAUGGAUGUUUCUGCUGCGGAGCCGCAACGAGAUAGAGACCAAGGGGGUUCCUCAUCUUCAAACAAGAGAAGAUAAUGUGUAUUCUUCAUUUGAUGAGGCUGCCACUUUGUUGGGGGAAAAAAUCCAGGCCAUUGGCGAUCAAAUCAGUAUGUGUAUUGCCUCCGAGGUGGUAGUUCAGCAGAAGUCAGAAGAAUAUCAAAAGAUGGAAGAGAAAGCUUCAAAUUUAUAUUCAGCCUUAUGGUCAAUUGAAGGUUUAACUGACGAUCAGCGGUAUGAUGCUUUGAGUAAAAUUCCCGAUCAUCCAACUCAAAUGAUCGUUUUCUUUAGUUUACCUUCUGUUGCCCGAUUGGAAUGGGUCAGAAGAUUUCUUUCUCACCAUUAAAUAUCAAUGUUCAAACUUUUUGAUGUUGUAAAACUAUAUAACAUAUGGAUUAUGAUGUAGAAUUUCAUUUUCAUCUAACAUUUUCUUAAUAUAAGUUAAUUAUGUUUAUGCAUAAUGUAAUUCUCAAGUUAUAUAUUGAUUUUAGUAAAUUCAUAUAAGAACAUUUUAUUAUUAAGAAUUUUAUGAAAUUAUAUAUCAUUAUUAAAUUAUAUUUAAUAUUAAUUAUUUUAAAUUGUAUAAAUUCAUAUAAGAAAAUUUAUUAUUAAGAAUUUUAUGAAAUUAUAUAUUAUUAUUAAAUUAUAUGUAAUAUUUAUUAUUUUAAAUUAUACAAAUUCAUAAAAUAUAAUUUAUUAGUUAUAAUUAUUUUAAAUUUUAUUAAAUCAUAUAUUUUAAUUUAAAUAUAUUUAAUAUUAAUUAUUUCAAAUUUUCUUUUAUAGUAUCAUAUAUUAUGAUUUGAAUAAAUUCAUAUAAGAAUAAUAAUUAUUAAGAAUUUUAUUAAAUUAUAUAUUUUAAUUAUAAUAUAUUUAAUAAUAAUUAUGUUAAUUUAUAUUUUACAGUAUCAUAUAUUAUGAUUUGAGUAAAUUCAUGUAAGAAUAUUAAUUAUUAAGAAUUUUAUUAAAUUAUAUAUUUUAAUUAUAAUAUAUUUAAUAAUAAUUAUGUUUAAAAUAUAUAAUUCUUAAAUAUAUUGGCUAUGCCAAUACACCCAACCAAACAUGAUGUUAGGAUUUAAUGAGACUUGGAAUACAAAAGCAUUAGAACAUAAGAACUAAUGAUGAAGUCGGAAAUUUUGUUUAGAGAGACCGAAAUAAGAUUAUAAAAAUUAAGAGGGGGCAAAGUUAAAAUUUUUUGUAUUAAAAAUGCUUAAACUAAAUUAUUACUUUUCCAAAAGGACUUGAAUUAUGAUUUUUCCAUUAAAAAAGAUUAAAUCAAGUCUUUUAAUUUUGAGAAUGAGCUAUAAAUGAAAUUAUUCCAUUGAGCCAAGGUGCCCAACCCUCCCCUUUAGCUAUGCCUUCAAUAAUAAGAUUAACCCAAAUUUUUUUUGUUUUCUUUUUCUUUACGUAUGUUGAUUGAAAAAAGAAAUUGUUAAUAAUAGUUUUUUAGAUAUUAUAAAUAGAAGUGUUUAUGAGUCGAUUUUGGUUGGUUCAGGAUAUAGUUCCAUGUAUAGUACAUGUAACAACCCGGUUUUGACCUUAAUCGGAAAAGUGGUUUCAGGACCACAAAUCCGAGUCCUAAAAAUAUUUUAAUAUUAUUUUCUGUAAUUUUUAUGUGUGAAUUUACUUGUGUGAAAAUUUCAUGAUUUAAUUUCGUUUUUUGAGUGUCCGAUUAAAUAAAAAGAUUAAAUCGCGUAAAAUAAAAAUUUUGUGAUUAUUUUUAGAAGGGCUGAAUAGUGGAUGUUCUUUUAAUAUGGAGGUUUUAUGUGGCAAUUAAUCCAUUUAAAUGCUAGUGGACGGCAUUAAGUGAUAGUAUAUAGUUUUUAUAUUAUUAAUAUUAAUUAUAAAGGUUAUAAUUAUGUAUAUUAUAUUAUUAUGUUAUAAUAAAAAUAUUAUAAGCCAUUAUCAUUUCAUUUCAUUUUUUUUCUUCAUCUUUAUGACCGAAACUAAACAAAAGAAAAAGAAAGAAGAACCUAGCUACAUUCGGCCGUUUUGAAUUUUGAUUAAGGUUAGUUCUUUGUUCGGUUUUUGAUAAUUUUUACGUUUUUUAUAUCGUUGUUUUGUGUUCUUCAACACCCAUGCUUCAAUUUUGUGAAUUGAUGAUGAUUUUGAAAUGUGCCAUUGAUGGAUGUUUGAGUUUUAUGAUGUUAGUUGAUGAAAUAUGAAAUAUAUGUGUUAGAUUAACAUGUUUUGUAUUGGGAUUUUUGAUGAAUUUGAGUAUUUAGGGCUAAAUUGUGAAAAUAAAUUUUUGAUGGACUAAAAUACGAAAUAAAUGAAAGGCAUGGACUUGUAUGAGUAUAAUGAAGUUUCGACCUAACCAUAGUAUAGUCAAAAUUUGAAUGUUUUGUGUUUUGUGUAAUUCGAACUAAAUUGUGAAAAAUGUAAAAUGUUAGGGGCAAAUUUGUAAUUUUCCAUUUAUGUGUUUUUGGAUUAAAUUGAAGUUAAUAAUAUUUAAACUAGCUCAUUUUGAAUAUGUUUAGAUCAAGAACCAAAGAAAUCGGAGCUAGAUCGGGGAAAAACCAAAAUCGUCGACUAAUUAUCCGAUUUCAAUUUUUCACAGUCCGAGGUAAGUCUAAUAGCAAUUUAAAUGUUAUAAAAUUGGAAUUUAUAUAAAUAUAUCUAUCAUACAUUUAGUAAGCUGGAACUAAAAGUAUAUAAUUUGAAUAAAAUUUAGUGAUUUUUCUAUGUGAUAGCCGAACAUAGAAAUUGAUUUUGGGAGGUUGAUAUUAAUGGUAUAAAUUACAUGUAUAUUAGCUAAAGUAUACUUUAAGUUCAAUGAUAUGAGACUAAUAGUAGAAUUUACAUGGAUAUGUAGUUAGAAUGUAAGAUUUAAUUUCUUGAGUUGAAUUUAGAGUUAUGAAUUAUAUAUAUAAAGUUUGAAUGUAUGAUAUAAGUUCUUUGAGCUGAACAUAAUAUUAUGAAUUAUAUAUAUAUGCACAUAUGGUUCGAAUAUAUAUAUUUAAAGGAUCAUCCUUGGAUCUGAGAUUUUCAAGCUUAAUGCCUAGCAGGCUUGAUGUUGGUGAAUUACUUCAGACUUUAUGUCUAGCAGGCUUGAUGUCGGUGAAUUACUUCAGACUUUAUGUCUAGCAGGCUUUGUGCCGGUAAAAUGUAUCGGCCUUUGUGCCUAGCAGGCUUUAUGCCAGUGUUUUAUACAAGGUUCUAUGUUCUAUAAAUCUUAUGUGAGCAAUAGUAAAAGCAAAUAAAUGUAUUAAGAAAGCUAAAUUAUUCAGGUAUGUGUUAGCCAUUUGCUUAAUUAGUGUUAAGGUAAGUUGAUUAUUUUAAAUUGAUAAUAGUUUCAAAUGAAAUAUAGAGUAUGAGUUAACCAUUUGAAUAUAUGCAUGUUUUGGCAUAAUGAUUUGUUGAAAAUUUGGCUUUGCUAAAUAUUUAUGUGUAUUUAGCCAUAUGGUUUGUUUAUAUGAAAAUAUAAUGUGAUUUUUAUUAAAGUGUUAUAUGGUACAAAAUAUUAGGAUAUUUGGUUUAUUUUAACUUAAUGAUGGAAUAAGUAUUAGUAUAUAUAUGUAUAUGAAUUUUUGCUUAUGACUUACUAAGCUUUAAUAGCUUACUGUAUGUGUUUUUGUUUACCUCUGUUUUAUAGAUUUUGGAGUCGCGUUACGAGCUCGGGGAUCAUCAACAUAGUCUAUCACACUAUCGACUUCUUUUGGUAUUUUAGUAAAGUUUGAACUCGAUCUUAUGGCAUGUAUAGGCUUGAUUAUGUUUUUGGUUAGUUUUGGAUCAUAAUAUAUAAAUAGCCAUGCGAAAAUGGUUUAAUUUCCAUGUUUGUGUUCGGUUUGGUUUAAAAAUGGCUUGUUCAUGAUCAUUUUGUUUAAAUUGGGUUUUAUGUGUUUUUGAAUGGGUGCUUGAUGUGUUUAAUUUUUAUGCUUGAAUUUAACUACAUUUGAUCAUGAUUUGAGCUUGCAUUUGAAUAAGAUAUUCAAGUUACAUGUAUGUGAUAAAUUUGGUUUAUGUUAGAUAUUAAAGUCUUGUGAUAUAAGUUGAAUAAAAAGGUGAUAUUUAGUUAUGUGUUUCGGCAAUAAGAUUAAUAUUGGAUGUUAGUUGAAUUAAGAUUAUGUUAUGUGAUAAUUAGGUAUUUAGACAUAUUGUAUAUACAUGUGGUGUAUUUAAAUUAUGUUUGAUUUGAAAAUGUAAGUGAUUAUAUGAUUCAGUUUUGGUGUUCAUAUUUAUAUUAAUAAGUAGGUGUUUUGGAGAAUAUUAAGAAAACAUAAAUAUGCUAUGGUUUGAGUGUUAUAAUGACCGAAUAUGUCUUAAUUAGUUUUGUAGUGAUAAUGAAAUAUGGAUGUUCGGAAAUGACCCAUUUGGAGUACACACAUGCACAAGCUUGUAAUAGGUUAAUAAGUGUUUAAUAUGUACAUAAUGAACUGGUUAUGAUUAGUGUAUUAAGCCUACUUACAUACGGACAUGUUAUAUAUAUAUAUUAGUGAUGAGUUUGUUAUAAAUUGCAAAUUAUGGAACAAUAUAUUUUAGUUCGAUACUAUGCAAUAUUAAUUGCGUGCGAUGUAAUUUAGUUGAAUGAAAAUAGAUAUUUACUAAAACAUAUGAAUUACCAAGUUUAUUUUCAGCUUUUGUAUUACCAACUUGUGUUAUAAUAAAACUAGAAACGUAUAUGUGUUUUAAGUAAAUUGGUUUUGGUUAUUUUAAUUUUAAUGACUAAGUUGUAUAUAGAAAUAUAAUGAUAAGUCUAUUAAAUUCAGUCAAUGUAAGUUAUUGAAUGUAAACGCAUGAUGUGCCGAUUAUGAAAAAGUGAUUUUUGAUAUUUUUUCUUAUGAUUUAUGUGACUACAUAUAUGUUCGUUUUAAAAUAUGGAAUAAUUCAUAAAGAGUUUAUGUUAGCUUUAUGAUUUAAAUUUUGAUUGAUUUAAGAGACUUGUUUAUGUGUACUUGUAAAUUGUUCGGAUGUGUGCUUUGUUCGGAUGUGUGCUUUGUUUAGUAAUGCCUCGUAACUCUAAUCCAACGACGGACACGGGUCGGGGUGUUACAGUACAAGCCUUAAGAAAAUAUGAGAUUCAAAAAAAAAUACAUCUAUAUUUAUAAAUAGUUAAUCCUAACCUAUUUAGGCUUGCUCAUAUAUACUUUUAAAAAGUUUAAUAAAAUGUUAAUUUUAUCAAAUAUUUAGUAAUGUUGUUGAUCAUCGAAAUCAACAAGGGGAGAAGACUGGUUGGAAAUGUGGCAGUUCACUUUGAAGGGCAAAGAAUUGUUAAUCUAUAGUGAUGAGGAUGGAUGUGAAUGUUAUGAAGAAGGUAGAGACAUAGAUGAUUGGCUUAGUUUAAGAUGUUGGAACAGAAAAGCCUCUCGUUAGAAGGAGAGAGCUUAUAUACGAGACAUAGAUGAGAUGCCAUGUGUCAAUGUUUUGCUAGCGGAAAGGUCACCUCUUGUCCAUUUAUAGAGGUGGCAAUGUGACCCUAUAGAUUAACAAUGUGACAUUAUAGGAAAACUUAGCAAUCAAUGUGCACGAGGCUUAAGUAAUCUUGAUAGAGGUAGUCUAAGGUGGAGGUUCACUUUGUGGCGUGGUAUUUAAGGGGUAACAUGUGGAGCCAUUUGUGGGGCUAGUAUAAAAAUUACCCCCUCCAAAUGAGGAGAAGGUUAUAAAGUGAUCUCUAUCGUAUUUUAAUAUGUUAAGUAUUGGUAAUCGAGAUAAGUCGAAAUAAUAAAAUUUUUUAACCAUUCUUGCAUUUAGAACAAUAUACUAAAGUGAAAUAAGGGCCAUUGUGAAAAACAAGAGACAUGGCCAUGUGCUUCACCCGUGUAGGACUUUGUGUCCAUGUGGGUUUUGGGAAUCGUGUUUAAGUUUGAAAAUCAAGGGAUAAUUUGCCAAAUUAAUCCCUAAAGUUUAUCUAGCUUAACCCUUGUUCAAAUCUCAAAUUUUAAGCCAAAUUAAUUCAAAUAUAAAUCAUAAUUAAGCAUUUUAAAACCCAAUUUUUUUAUACCAUUUAAUUAACAUAUAAUUUAAGCAAACAUCAAACUUCACAUUUAAGUUUCCUUCACAUUCAACCUUAAUACACCCACCUAGGUACAUGCCAUUUCUUGAAAUGACAAAAUUAAUACUUUACCCUUUUCUCGGAUCCACUGAUGUGAUGAGAUGAGAUGCCUUUGAUAUUCAAAUAUCCCUUUUCUUUUACUCUUAACCUACGUGUAUAAAGCAUGCGUUAAGCUAUUACUAGCUUAGUAAGUACAACUAGUAUUUAGAUCAUAAUCUAUGUUAUAAAUUAUAACUUAUUUAUUAUUUACUACACAAAAUCAUUUAAAUGACUUGUUUGUAUUCAUCAUACAUAAUUUACCAAUCAAUUCACUUAUUAUUACAAUUAGGUCCACAUUUUAUUAUUUUCUCAUUAUACACCAACUAAACAUAUUAUUUAAUUAUCAUCUAUAUAAUACUAGAAUCACAUGAUUUAUUUUAAAUUUAUCGUUUACUCCAUUUAGCUAAAAUUUCAAAUAAUUUACUUUUCUUAUUUCAACCAUAUAUUUUCUUGUGUUUCUCAAUUUCAUAAUUUUUCAACACAUAUAAUCUAUAUAAUUCAAUAAUCACUAAAAUAGUUUUGUACCUUUUUUAGAGGCCCAGUAGACUUAAUAGAACACAAAGGAUAUACAAAAUAGAACAGAACACCAUCGAAGCAAAUAACAGAACACCGCUGAAGCGAAUAAUAAAACACCGCCAAAGCGGAUAAAUAGAGAGCACUGAUGUGUUAAUAAUCAGAGAGUACCAACAUGCUAAUAAUUAGAGAGCGAACUAAGGUUCCUUAAUGGCAUGCCACUAAUAUCCUAAUAGUUCUUAUCUCGUCUACUUAGGCAAGUCAUAACAUACACACGUCAUUUUUACACUUUUUACCAUUUAAUCCUUAUAACAAUACUUUGUAUAAUUAUAUCUUCCUCUUUCAUUGACACAUGUAACUUGUCUCAAUAUUUAAUAAUCUUCCAUAAUUCCACUAAUAAUUCUUAUUAUACAUUUCACCUAUCACUUUUACUUACUUUACAAUUUAGACCUCAUCAUGACAUUUCAUGUAACAAUAUAUUUUUCUUUCAAUUUCGUACAUAACAUAUUUCAUUUCUCUAUUUAAUUUCCAUAUUCCAUCACAAUUUCUUAUCACAUUCACAUGUCAUUUUCAUUUUUUUAUUUCUAAAUUUUGUCCUUGAGGCAUCAAAUCCACAAAUAGAAUGUUUUACCAAUUAAUAUAAUUUCCAUAAUUCAUCACUAAUCUUUAUUAGUUCUUUUUACAUGAUUUUUACGCUUUUAACAUACUAAUCCUUGUCUUUCAUUUUUCAUCAAACAUAUAUACAUUAUUUCACAUAUUUCUCUUCACAUUUAAUUACAUAAAUAUAUAGUUCCAUCAACUUUUACAUCCUCCACAAUUUAGUCUCUUUUUUUAUGCACUUUAAAUCUUUUCUCGCAUUUCUUUCAAUUUCUUUAUCACAUAUUACUUAAUAAAUGCAAUCAAUUCAUUAUUUAUUAUAUUUAAUCAUUAUCAAGCCUUAUUCUUCACUUAUUCAACAUAUAAAUUUGUAAUUAAAUAUUAUAUUACAAUUAUAUUCAUUCUAACAAUCAACUUCAUAAUGAAAACAAGUCAGAUUCUAGUUGUACUUACAACUUUAGACUUGAAAUCAACUCUCUUCUCCUCUUUCUCCCUUUGUCCACUUCCUUGCUUUAUUUCUCUAUUUGUUUAUCAACUUCCUUCACUUUUCUUCACUUUUCCAUAUCAAAAUACACAAUAUUUUCACAUUAAAAAUCAUGUUCACAUAUCAUAAUUUAUAUUUUCUGAUCAAAACUAACAUGUAUUUCAAAAGAAGUUGAUAGUUCUUACCUCAAACACUUAUAUUCAAGUUUAAUCCUUAUUUUCUCUCUCCUCCAAAACUCCCAUGAAUGCUCUUCUCAUGAAAUUAAUGUAAAUAUUAUUCAUUCCCAUUGAUUUCACUCACAAAUGAUGAAGAAAUUUAGGAAAAACUAGCUUAAUUGGUUUGUAUUUGGUGAGAAUGACUAAAUUGAAAGAAAAAUAAAAGUUGAAAUGAUGGAAAAGUGGUGGCUGACGUGAGGCACCAAGGCUGAUGGCUUUUAUAGCCUCUUUAUCCUUUUCUUUCUCCAUUUUUC